This 1101-nucleotide ribosomal RNA is filed under the name Photobacterium damselae. RNAcentral's name for it is "bacterial SSU rRNA". It matches the Rfam family "Bacterial small subunit ribosomal RNA", at positions 343 to 1437 of the family's 1533-position model. Lineage: Bacteria; Pseudomonadati; Pseudomonadota; Gammaproteobacteria; Vibrionales; Vibrionaceae. The record is from RNAcentral.
GGGAGGCAGCAGUGGGGAAUAUUGCACAAUGGGGGAAACCCUGAUGCAGCCAUGCCGCGUGUGUGAAGAAGGCCUUCGGGUUGUAAAGCACUUUCAGUAGGGAGGAAGGUAGUGUAGUUAACACCUGCAUUAUUUGACGUUACCUACAGAAGAAGCACCGGCUAACUCCGUGCCAGCAGCCGCGGUAAUACGGAGGGUGCGAGCGUUAAUCGGAAUUACUGGGCGUAAAGCGCAUGCAGGCGGCCUGUUAAGUCAGAUGUGAAAGCCCGGGGCUUAACCUCGGAAUUGCAUUUGAAACUGGCAGGCUAGAGUCUUGUAGAGGGGGGUAGAAUUUCAGGUGUAGCGGUGAAAUGCGUAGAGAUCUGAAGGAAUACCAGUGGCGAAGGCGGCCCCCUGGACAAAGACUGACGCUCAGAUGCGAAAGCGUGGGGAGCAAACAGGAUUAGAUACCCUGGUAGUCCACGCCGUAAACGAUGUCUACUUGGAGGUUGUGGCCUUGAGCCGUGGCUUUCGGAGCUAACGCGUUAAGUAGACCGCCUGGGGAGUACGGUCGCAAGAUUAAAACUCAAAUGAAUUGACGGGGGCCCGCACAAGCGGUGGAGCAUGUGGUUUAAUUCGAUGCAACGCGAAGAACCUUACCUACUCUUGACAUCCAGAGAAGCUUGAAGAGAUUCGAGUGUGCCUUCGGGAACUCUGAGACAGGUGCUGCAUGGCUGUCGUCAGCUCGUGUUGUGAAAUGUUGGGUUAAGUCCCGCAACGAGCGCAACCCUUAUCCUUGUUUGCCAGCACUUCGGGUGGGAACUCCAGGGAGACUGCCGGUGAUAAACCGGAGGAAGGUGGGGACGACGUCAAGUCAUCAUGGCCCUUACGAGUAGGGCUACACACGUGCUACAAUGGCAUAUACAGAGGGCAGCAAGACCGCGAGGUGGAGCGAAUCCCAGAAAGUAUGUCGUAGUCCGGAUCGGAGUCUGCAACUCGACUCCGUGAAGUCGGAAUCGCUAGUAAUCGUGGAUCAGAAUGCCACGGUGAAUACGUUCCCGGGCCUUGUACACACCGCCCGUCACACCAUGGGAGUGGGCUGCACCAGAAGUAGAUAGCUUA